GUUCCACCGUUCUCCGGAAACGCUUCAUGAUCUAUAUAUUCUGGGGAAUCCAAGGAACAACGCGGAAACGGACCGUCCACUAGCAAAGCAUACCAAAAGAAUACAUCAUAACUCUUUGAACGAUUAGGUAAGGGGAUUGAGAACGAUGUUGACAGGUGACGUCAUUUUUAUGGUUUUAGAAAAUGCAGGGAGAUAGUAGAAUUAAAUGGACGCAGACGUUACAAGUAGAUUACGUGUUUUUAUACGCGUGUUGUGUCACGGACGACAAACACGACGUCAUAAUCGGCUGAAGAAGCUCAGAAUGUGGCGGAGGAUAAUAAUUAGGACGAAAAAAGUCGAGGUAGCAACCAGAGUCCUCGUAGAAACAACGGAACGAAGGAACGUGGCUGGACCGCGGACCGUCCCUAGGAGAGGAUCGGGAGGCGGGGAGGGGAUAUGUACAAAGGAGGGAUGUGAUUGGCCGAAGCAGAGAGGAGAGGUUCUCGGCUGUCGCGAGGCGAGUUGAUUCCGCGCCACUUCGUUUCCGACUCGUGUACGCGUACGACGUGCUCCGAGGACUAACUCUCAGAACAAAUUCUUCGAUUUUCUUUUGUCUGCUAAAGGGCCAAAAACUGCCAUCCUGACACAUUCUAUGCUACACAUAUAGUUUCUUGUCUGUACGAAUGAGCUAGACGCGUAUGCGUGAUUUUCCACGCAUACGUAACACGGGAGGCUGCUGGCUGGUGUAGGUGUAGGUGCGUGCUAUCGACCGGGUAUCCUUCUGUGCUGGACGCCGGUGUGCCCCACCCUGAAGUGAGUAGCGUGCAAGAGAGAGCGCUAUACGUCGCGAGUAAGACGAGGACAACUAGCGCCACGAGUGGUAGGUUCAAAAAGGACAGACGAUCACGAGCGAAGAGAAGCGAGAGAUGCAGCGAGCGAGAACAAAAGGGACAGAGGAGCACCGUGGAACCGGGAAAAAACAGAGAUGGCUUUAGAAGAGGAAAAUAAAAGUGGAUCCGAUGGGAAAAAGCGGGAAAAAGAGAGAGAGGAGGAGCGUGAAUUCGCGAAAAGGGGGAAAGUCGUUUAAGGGGAGAGAAGGAGCGAAGUAAUGACAGAGUGACAGGAGUAAAAAGAGAGGGCAAGCGGAGAUUCGUGUGGAUGAAAGGAAGAAAGGGACGGAGAGUCGCGGAGAGAGAAAGAGAGAGAAUAGUAGUAGUCUGAAAAGACAAGGACAUAGCUAGUGAGGGAGAGGGAGGUAGUGAGCGAGACAGAUAGCGAGGGAGCGAGACAGAGAGAGAUCACGGCACGCAGAAAUGCCUCCUGCUUAGUGAUAGCGUAGAGACUGUAGUGUUCACAUCACACGCGACACGCCGAGAAUUUUUCGCAAGUUCGACGCGCGCCCAAAGUAUUAUCGUUCCAUUCCGCGACACGAUAAUUGGAUACGUUACAAAACGCACACACUUAACGUGUAUAUACAUAUUAUAUAGAAGAGCGCGAGCGCGCGACCAUCUCGACAAAACGCACACAUAUAUAAUACGUACGCACAGGACAACGCAGGAGACAGACCGUUCGAAGGACACACGAACAGAGAGAUAAAGUAACAGCGAAAAGGAUACUUCUCUC
RNAcentral lists this unclassified non-coding RNA (1602 nucleotides) under Bombus terrestris (buff-tailed bumblebee). RNAcentral's name for it is "misc RNA ENSBTSG00005026675.1". The record is from RNAcentral. Lineage: Eukaryota; Metazoa; Arthropoda; Insecta; Hymenoptera; Apidae.